This 993-nucleotide ribosomal RNA is filed under the name uncultured Neisseria sp. RNAcentral's name for it is "bacterial SSU rRNA". It matches the Rfam family "Bacterial small subunit ribosomal RNA", at positions 509 to 1503 of the family's 1533-position model. Lineage: Bacteria; Pseudomonadati; Pseudomonadota; Betaproteobacteria; Neisseriales; Neisseriaceae. The record is from RNAcentral.
CAGCAGCCGCGGUAAUACGUAGGGUGCGAGCGUUAAUCGGAAUUACUGGGCGUAAAGCGAGCGCAGACGGUUACUUAAGCAGGAUGUGAAAUCCCCGGGCUCAACCUGGGAACUGCGUUCUGAACUGGGUGACUAGAGUGUGUCAGAGGGAGGUAGAAUUCCACGUGUAGCAGUGAAAUGCGUAGAGAUGUGGAGGAAUACCGAUGGCGAAGGCAGCCUCCUGGGAUAACACUGACGUUCAUGCUCGAAAGCGUGGGUAGCAAACAGGAUUAGAUACCCUGGUAGUCCACGCCCUAAACGAUGUCAAUUAGCUGUUGGGCAACUUGAUUGCUUAGUAGCGUAGCUAACGCGUGAAAUUGACCGCCUGGGGAGUACGGUCGCAAGAUUAAAACUCAAAGGAAUUGACGGGGACCCGCACAAGCGGUGGAUGAUGUGGAUUAAUUCGAUGCAACGCGAAGAACCUUACCUGGUCUUGACAUGUACGGAAUCCUCCAGAGACGGAGGAGUGCCUUCGGGAGCCGUAACACAGGUGCUGCAUGGCUGUCGUCAGCUCGUGUCGUGAGAUGUCGGGUUAAGUCCCGCAACGAGCGCAACCCUUGUCAUUAGUUGCCAUCAUUUAGUUGGGCACUCUAAUGAGACUGCCGGUGACAAGCCGGAGGAAGGUGGGGAUGACGUCAAGUCCUCAUGGCCCUUAUGACCAGGGCUUCACACGUCAUACAAUGGUCGGUACAGAGGGUAGCCAAGCCGCGAGGUGGAGCCAAUCUCACAAAACCGAUCGUAGUCCGGAUUGCACUCUGCAACUCGAGUGCAUGAAGUCGGAAUCGCUAGUAAUCGCAGGUCAGCAUACUGCGGUGAAUACGUUCCCGGGUCUUGUACACACCGCCCGUCACACCAUGGGAGUGGGGGAUACCAGAAGUAGGUAGGGUAACCGCAAGGAGCCCGCUUACCACGGUAUGCUUCAUGACUGGGGUGAAGUCGUAACAAGGUAGCCGU